Molecule: unclassified non-coding RNA, 430 nt
Filed under: soil metagenome
Description: partial contains 5.8S ribosomal RNA, internal transcribed spacer 2, and large subunit ribosomal RNA
Rfam family: 5.8S ribosomal RNA (bases 1-120)
Source: RNAcentral
GAUGAAGAACGCAGCGAAAUGCGAUACGUAAUGUGAAUUGCAGAAUCCAGUGAAUCAUCGAAUCUUUGAACGCAUAUUGCGCUCUCUGGUAUUCCGGAGAGCAUGCUUGUUUGAGUAUCAGUAAACACCUCAACUCCCUUUUCUUUUUUGAAAUUGGAGCUGGACUUGAGUGAUCCCAACGCUUUCUUCCAAGAAAGUGGCGGGUUGCUUGAAAUGCAGGUGCAGCUGAACUUUUCUCUGAGCUAUAAGCAUAUCUAUUUAGUCUGCCUAAAAAACAGAUUAUUACCUUUGCUGCAGCUAACAUAAAGGAGACUAGUUCUUGUGCUGACUGAUGCAGGAUUCACAGAGACAGCUUCGGCUGACUUUGUAAACUCGAUCUCAAAUCAAGUAAGACUACCCGCUGAACUUAAGCAUAUCAAUAAGCGGAGGA